This 5430-nucleotide long non-coding RNA is filed under the name Homo sapiens (human). RNAcentral's name for it is "HSALNT0119548". Lineage: Eukaryota; Metazoa; Chordata; Mammalia; Primates; Hominidae. The record is from RNAcentral.
GCUUGCUGUCAAUAAAUAUGUGGGUAAAUCUCUGUUUGGGGCUCUCAGCUCUGAAGGCUGUGAGACCCGAUUUCCCACUCCACACUCUGUAUUUCUGUGUGAGUGUCUUUAAUUCCUCUGGCGCCGCUGGGUUAGGGUCUCCACGACUGAGCUGAUCUCAGUAUCUACCACAUUCUGCUUUAUUCUCUUCUCUAGGGUAAGAAAAAUCACAAUACAUGGGUAUUCAAUAAAAUUCAAUUAAUUUAAGCCUGACUCUUGAGAAUGUGCAAUUGAAGGUUAUGAAUGUGUCACACCUAAGGUGGUGGUAGAAGUCUCUGGCACAUGGAAAAUGCCUGUUUUAACUUUUAGCUAUUUUUUUCAGGUUUUUGUCAUUAGAAUAUUUCUUCUGUUUCUACUGCAAAUAACUAUCAAAAAGGAAAAGAACAACUAGGAUGGCCUCCCCUGUUUAUCAUUGGCCCUACAAUUUUCUAGGAGUAAUAUCUUUUUGGAAUUAUGUAAUGUCCUCUGCUAAUGACAGUGUAUAGAUGCUAUUACAUUUCCUUGGGGGACAAAGUACUGUUGUCUGGAAGCUUUGAGAUUAAUGUAACACAAAGUAAAUAAGGAAGCGUUUUGCAUAUUCUUAGAUUUUUACAUUUUUAUUUUAAAACAGAGAAUUUCAUAUUGAUUAACACCUACUACUAAACAGAAUGAUGCAUUAAUUAAAUGCCUUGUCCUAACUGUUAUAAGCUCUGUUAGAAAAAUAAACAUCUCACCACAAACUACAGUGUCAGCUCUUUAAUAAAUACAUAAAACAGAAGUUAGUAGUCAAUCAGAGUUAUAUGAACAGGUUCAUAGUAUAUUAUGUGAAAGUAUCAUAUUCUCCAAUAUUCUGUAUCAUUUAAGACAAUUUAAGUUACGUAUAAUUCAAAGCCAGAAAUAAUAAGAAAUAUGUUCAGUGAUAAUUUGCUUCUUUCUUAGAGCUAUUUUAUAUUCAAAUAUUUAAUUUAAAAAUAUAUUCUAUAUUAAAUUUAUUUUUACAAACGCAGUAUUCGUUAGGUGAAACAAAAUAAGUUUUUAUGUUACUGAUAAGUUUAAUACAUUUCUAAUUUUUUUCAGAAGUUCAAGAAACCAUAAUGAAGUAGCUAAUGUAAAAUAGUUUAAAAGCUAUGUUAAAUAUACACAAAAUGAAUUUCUAUAUUAAUAUGUGCAAAUGUAUAUUUUCUUAUAAUUUAGAAUUAAAGUACUUUAUACUCAAUAUUCUUAAUAAAAUUUAUGUACCAUACUUGUCAUUGCGUAGACUUCUUAUCAAAAUUUCACAUUUAUCUGUAGGAAAAUGUAAAGUUGGUAAAAAUUGUUUACACAAAUCACACAUUUUCCAUCCUUGACAAUUGCAGUGUUUUUUUUUUAAAUAUUGCUGUAUUAGACAAUUUUAACUGAAGUAGGUUGUAGAGGCUAGAAGAAACCUGAUUAAUAGAGUUAGCUUACAAAGAUAAAUUUUAUGCAGAAAAGUAUUCCAGGUAGAUAAAAGAGUAGUGUUAUUACUCUCAGGUUUACAUUAACAGCUGCCCAGAUAGCUGAACAAUUAUUUCAUAUAAUUCAAAUAAUUUAAAUAUGCAGUUUUAUAACAGUCGUUACAUAAGCUUGAAGUUAAAGUGAUCAGAGCCAAGGGGGAAAAACCCACAAAUGAUAAAGAAGAAUAAAAAGUAAGAGGACUCUAGAAGAAAGUUGUUUUUCACAGCACUGAUUGUUUUUAUCAUAUUUUUCUCCUGCCAUUGAUACAAGACAUGUAAGAUGCUGCAAAACCUAACUAUGACAGUUCCAUGUAAUAUUUUUCCAGUUAAUUUUGUUUAAAAGUGAGAUGAUAAUAUAAAAGGAUCUCAUAUAAUAGAAUAAAAAUAAUAAAAAUUUGUUAAUGAAACGUAGACAUACCUACCCAUUCUUGUUAGUUAAGUUAGGGUAAAGUUGGAUUAGUGUAAUAUUUAUUCAAGCAUAAUUUUAAACACUGCAUCUGAAGUGCCAACAGUUGCAAGAAAUGUCACAAUUUCAGAGAUGUUAAAUUGAAAAAGUGAUGUCUUGGAAUCAAUGAAAUAUAAAUAUGGAUAUGUAUAAUCAGUUAUACAUAAAAAUUUGCUAUAGAGGAAUUAUAAAAGAAAAGGAAAAUUAUUUGAAAGAAUGUUAGCUAUAUCUCAGUGGUCUGCAUUGCAUAAAAUGGAGUUCUUGAGGUCAAUAUAAAUAAGGAUAGUUGUAAAUUAAAUAUUGAGUCAACAUAACAGAAUGCAAUCUGCACAUGAUUGAGCUCCCAUGUAACUAUAUUUCACUUGAUACUUUUAUGAAAACAUAUAUAUUCCAAAUCCUUCAAAAUGAAAAGAAGCUCAAACAGUUGUGAAAAUUUAGAAUUCUUAGAUUUUAAUGGGUCUGUCUUUGUUCAGGGGCAAAGACUCAAAUGAGCUUUAAGAUCAAUUAAAGAUGUCUGGAAAUGAAGAACUUCAUUAUACCAUUAAAUUCAGUUAUUUUUCACUAUUAGGCUUAUUAAGCUUGAAGCUUUAGGAAAUCUCUUGGGAAGAGUGAGUGGAAAAAACAGGAGUAAGAAAAGGAAGAAAAAGCCUUUGAGUCUAAUCUACUCUACCAGGUUCCAGGAAGAAUAUAAUUCUACAGAGAAAAUUCUUCAUAAUCUAUCAUAAUAUAUUUCAGUGUCUGAUGGCUGACUCUUGUCUUGCAUAAAGAUAUCUUCAGUGGAUAUUAAGUAAAUAUUAAAAAUAUAUUUCAGAUUCAUUCUUUGAAGGAUUGCAUCUCAUGCAUCCACAAAUUUUAAUGUUGAGUUUUGGAAAAUUGCCUCCAGAGAUAUCUACUGUGUUUAAUCUUAGAUUUUUUUUUUAUUUUAAUAAACCAAAGAUAAACUGAACAUUUAAGACAUAAUCAGAUUUUUAGUGAAUUUUUAAGUCCUCCAGAAAAGUCUAUGACUUAAUAAAUAUUAGCAAGUUUCCAAAAAUAUAACAAAUGUUUAUAAAUACGUGUGCACUGCAGUGCAAUGGUGUCCCCAGAGAAAUAAAAUGCAUAACAAAGCAAAUGUUAUGUUGUAGUGUAUGUAUGGCACAUUUAUAAAUCAUUACAUACUUUAGGGCACAAAAAUGCUGCAGUACUAAAAGUGUUGUUCAAGUUCUCAAUUCUGUUAACAAUUUAAAAUUUCAUUAAUUGUGUUUAAUAUCAAUGAAUCUCAAAAGGCUCCUGUGGCCAUAUUAGUUGAAAAUAGACUCUAUUUGCAUACAUUAUUUAACCUAAGAGUACCCUGUGUUCCCUUACCAUUUAAUUAAUUCUAACUAGUCAAAUAUUAAUUCUCAUCUCACAAAUCAUUACACAGGAAGAUAUCAAUUAUUCAAGUAAAAUACAAGCCCUACAAUCUUUAAAAAUUAGCUUUUUAAGUAAAAACAAAAAAGAUAAGCACAAGACUUUGCAAGCAUAACCACAAUCAUCGUCUAACACUGAGUUGCCUACAAGGAAGUUUGUCCCUUCCUAUGGUAACAGCCUUGGUCCACUAUAAAGUUAGUGCAAACAAGUGAGGGUAUAAAAAAAAUAUAAACUCUGGAUUUUUAAGGAUUUCAUUUUGUUAUACUCUUUUUGGAUAAUUCAUUCCAUACGGAAAUUUGUUUAUUGUUCAUAAAUAUCAUAAUGUUCAUUUCAAAAAUUGUCAUCAUCUUAAUGGCUAUCUUACACUUUUUUCUUUUGGAGGGUUGUCAGGCAUCCAUCCAUUUUCCUUUUUAAGAAGAACGUUAUGUGUAUUAGGCUACUAAACCCAAUUUUUACAUUAUUUUUAGUGAUCAAAGGUUUCUUAUACAAGUGACUCACAGUACUGAAUUAUGUCAAUCUCUCAUUUGAGGAAGGAAAUGCAGUUCAAGUUAGCAUUGAAAGUGCUUGGCUGUAGAGGACAUCUAACAGAGCUGCUGUGUUUAUUGGCUCCAGAACAACUUAUUAUAGGUUUUUCAGUUCUCUUUAGGGUAGAAUAUGAGAUGGGGUUAGUCUUCAUCAAAAUGCAGUAUCUAGUACUUUAACUCAAGUGCUGGAAGACAGCAAAUCUUGGAAGUUUAUUAUAAAAAAAAAGAUAUUUCGGAUAGAUUCCUUUGUUGUCAUGGGCAAAACUGUAUAUCCACACAGGACUGUUAGACUCCUAGCCAAUAAAAUCAGACUAAGUCCAUAGGGAUAAGGUAAGUGUAAAUAAAUUUCCAUUGGGGAAGACAGGGCUCAUGGCCCGUGUAUCAAGGUCUCAAGCUGAGCACUGGAGAACUCCAGGGAACACUGUUCAUACAGGCUAUGGUGCGAAGGAAUUCCCCUGUAGGUAUGCCAUACUUCAGUCUCUUAAGAAGCUGAUUAGCAUGAAAGACUGGAAGCUGAUUAUGGACAAUUCAGUUUGAAUUAUUCCUUUCUAUUUUGCUUUGAACUUUCCUCAUACACUUAAGACAUGAGUAAAUCACAUUGAAAAACAUUUGCCAAUUGAAUAUUUUAAAGAUUCAAGAGGUAGCAUGAUAUUGUGCAAUGAACACUGGCCUGACAAUGAGAAGAUAAAAACUCCUUUCCAAUGUGGCCACUUUAUCACUUGAGUGUUUUCUGAGAAAUCGUUUAAGUUUUCUGAGGCUCAGUUCCCUAACUCACUAAAAAGGAGAAUUAGCAGCCUGGCAUGGUGGCUCAUGCCUGUAAUCCCAACACUCUGGGAGGCCGAGGAGGGUAGAUCACCUGAGGUCAGGAGUUUGAGAUCAACCUGUCCAACAUGGCAAAACCCCGUCUCUACUAAAAAUACAAAAAUUAGCUGGGCACGGUGGUGGAUGCCUGUAAUCCCAGCUACUCAGGAGGCUGAGGCAGGAGAACUGCUUGAACCCGGGAGGCAGAGGUUGCAGUGAACCCUAAUUGCGCCAUUGCACUUCAGCCUGGGUGACAAGAGUGAAACUCCGUCUCAAAAAAAAAAAAAAAAAAAAAAAAAGCUUAUUUCUAAGAUAUCAUCUAUUCUCCAAUUUUGUACUUUUAUGAAUUCUGGCAAGAAGGGUUGGAGUGAUUCUGGGAAAGAACAUCCUUAGGCUGCCUUGAAGGGAGAAGAUAAUAUAGCUUUUCAUUUAAAAAAUGCUGAUAUCUACUUGCAAUCAAAAUCUAAGAAAACAUUCAAAAUGUGGUACUUUGCUUGAGGCAGAAUUUCUAACUAUCUUGUGAAUUAAUGAUAAGAUAAAUGAAAUGGCCAAACAAUCCCUUCAGUUUACCAGGUAAGAGGAUACAAAACUCCACACUUGUGCACAAUGAAGCUAUUCAGGUUUUGAUGAUACUUUACAGUGUCCCCUAUUAACAUUCAGCUUUUAAAACUAGUAUUCUGAUAAAGUGACAUUGUAUUAUUAGUUUUUUAUGGCAGUAGUAACUUAGCACUUAAUUAAUCCAGUCAUCUGUGACAUACAUAAACUUAUCCUGUAAAAAAGA